GGGACACCAUGUUGAAAGUGGCAACACUUUCUGUCUAAUCAGGGGCAUUAUGCCCUUUCCCUCAUUCUUGCGUCUUCUAGUUGCUGGCUGGCUGUGAGCUAUGCUAUAUCAACUGGCCGUGAGCUACCAUGAGGUACGUUUUUUUUCAUCUCUUUUUUUGUCAGUGGCUCCAUGCUGUAGUGUUUUGCGAUAUUAUUUCUUCUUGUUUACUUUCUGAUUAACUGAUGAAAAGAUCCAAGUAUGUUUUCUGCUACCUAAUUAUGUCUCUCAUCUUGUCCAGUUCCACUAAUCCCCCUCCUGUGCUUAUUCUGAUCAGCACUUAUCAGUGCUGUUAAUUAGGUUCAACCAAAAAAAUGCUGUUAACUAGAAACAUCGUAAUGCACUAAUGCUCUCGCUCUCACAAGCAAAAUUCUGUUCUAUCCUUUCCUGCAUUAAGCAUUUUGGAUCGUAUUUUCUAUUUGUAGCUGACUGUUCAGCAUGGGAUUAUUUUAAAAUGUAGGAGAAACAUAAAAGUUAUACUAGUUUCUACCAUCUGUCUCAUGAUGCAGUUUCGCUGUGAAAAAAGGCUGGCAGUUGCAUAGGUUUGUUGCUGAAGUAUUGAUAUUUUUCUCAGUAAAACUACACAGCAGAUUGCUGGAACCAACCUGACAUAGGAUGCUUAAUGUUAUCAUGCUACAUCACUGCAUUUGGAAUCUGCGUUCAACCAAGACUGAUUUACUGGUUGCCUGACUCUACCAUUUCAGGUAAAUUCUGUUUGUUGUUUGAUUAUCAUCAACUUCAUUAACACGCGAGGCAUAUUUUCUGAUUCAUCCGCCUUACCUUAACAAUGCUGUUAACUAGGCUCUCCUGCAUGUUUCAAUUUUAAAAAAUGCUGUUAACUAGAACCACCGUAAUGCACCAAUGCUCUUGCUCCCACGGACAAUUUAUUGUUUUGUCAAUUCCCCUCUGUUAAGCACUAAAUUGGCCCAAAUUUUCUAUCUGUAGUUGACUGUUCAGCAUGACAUAUGCUUUCAAAAUGUUAGGAGAAACAUAAAUCUACUAGUUACUGCACCAUCUGUCUCAUGACGCAGUUUCACUGUGAAAAGAGGAUGGCAGUUAGCACUAGGUUUGUUGCUGAAUCAUUGCUAUUUUGCUCUAGGUUUGUUAUUCAGUAAACCCCCCGCAGCAGAUCACUGGAACCAACCUCACAUAGAUGCUUAAUGUUAUCAUGCUACUACCUCACUGCAUUUGGAAUCUGUGGUCAACCAGAACUGCCCAUUGAUUUGCUGGUUGCCUGGCUCUACCAUUUCAGGUACGUUCUGUUUGUUGUUUGAUUAUCAUCAACUUCAUUAACACGUGAGGCAUCUUUUCUGAUUCAUCCGUCAUACCUUAUCUUACAAUUAAUCAUGUAUUUGCUUGCUUUUACAUGGUGGACAUUUGUUUCAGCUUUCGGCCAAGUUAUAUUGCACAGUAGAAAAAAUAAAGUGAAGUAUUUUUUUUUUGACUAUUUACUGCAAGGCAACAGCCUCACAGUCCUUUAUUAAUAAAAAUAAAGUGAAGUUGCAAAAGAAGUUUGCUCGUAGAAAUGAAAAAAAAAACUAUGCCAUUGUAGCGACAGAAUAAAUUGGAUGCUAUGAAUCUGACAUUUCUCUAGGGAUCCUGUUAACAUCUUCAUCAUCUUAUAAGCAGAGCGAAUUAGGAGCUUAUUUGACUAAUAAUUUACCUUGUUAUUCUGGAGCCUGCAACGCGCAUCUAUCCUAAGUAGGAUGAAUUUCACUGAUGAAUAACUUUGAUGGUGUCAGGUGUGGAUUAGCAGUUGACCAUGUCCACAAAAAACUGAGGAAGGUACAGUAAUUCAGUUGGUGACGAUCUCCAUCUCAUACGGAAUAUGGACAUCUAUAUAUGAACCUUCCGGGAACUAAACGCUCAACCCGUGCCGUCGAACGAGUCGAUAGGGGUGGAUGUCCAUGGUGGGGUCGUCACUGAAUUUGACGUUGCUGGAGAUGUUCUCGUCGAGCUCAAGGCACCUGCGUUGAGAUACUAGGCCUUGUAAGAAGCUUUGGAUAAAAAGAUGGGAAAAGAAACCACCCUGUUUCUAUAACGGGGCAACAAAUAUUUUGAAAGCUAAAAUGCUACUAUUUGUGGAACGGAAGGAGACCACACCGUAAUUAAAGAUGGAAAGUAGUCG
RNAcentral lists this long non-coding RNA (2167 nucleotides) under Triticum aestivum (bread wheat). RNAcentral describes it as "long non-coding RNA (TAES_LNC021331)". Lineage: Eukaryota; Viridiplantae; Streptophyta; Magnoliopsida; Poales; Poaceae. The record is from RNAcentral.